RNAcentral lists this ribosomal RNA (274 nucleotides) under uncultured bacterium. Its description in RNAcentral is "partial 16S ribosomal RNA". It matches the Rfam family "Bacterial small subunit ribosomal RNA", at positions 523 to 796 of the family's 1533-position model. The record is from RNAcentral.
AUACGGAGGGGGUUAGCGUUGUUCGGAAUUACUGGGCGUAAAGCGCACGUAGGCGGAUUAAAAAGUUAGAGGUGAAAUCCCAGGGCUCAACCCUGGAACUGCCUUUAAAACUAGUAGUCUAGAGUUCGAGAGAGGUGAGUGGAAUUCCAAGUGUAGAGGUGAAAUUCGUAGAUAUUUGGAGGAACACCAGUGGCGAAGGCGGCUCACUGGCUCGAUACUGACGCUGAGGUGCGAAAGCGUGGGGAGCAAACAGGAUUAGAUACCCUAGUAGUCC